CCCUAGCCCUGAUAGCAGUGGAAAUCCUUUUUUAUUGCUUUUUCUGCAAUAAAAAAGAUUGCAACGAAUAGCAGGAAAUAGC
This 82-nucleotide small RNA is filed under the name Flavobacterium sp. 5. RNAcentral describes it as "Flavo-1 RNA". It matches the Rfam family "Flavo-1 RNA". Lineage: Bacteria; Pseudomonadati; Bacteroidota; Flavobacteriia; Flavobacteriales; Flavobacteriaceae. The record is from RNAcentral.